CACACCGUAAACGAUGAGCACUAGGUGUCGGGUUCGCAAGAGCUCGGUGCCGCAGUUAACGCAUUAAGUGCUCCGCCUGGGGAGUACGUACGCAAGUAUGAAACUCAAAGGAAUUGACGGGGACCCGCACAAGCAGCGGAGCAUGUGGUUUAAUUCGAAGCAACGCGAAGAACCUUACCAGGACUUGACAUCCCUCUGACAGGCCAGAUAACGACGGCCUUUCUUCGGACAGAGGUGACAGGUGG
This 245-nucleotide ribosomal RNA is filed under the name uncultured Eubacteriales bacterium. RNAcentral describes it as "uncultured Clostridiales bacterium partial 16S ribosomal RNA". It matches the Rfam family "Bacterial small subunit ribosomal RNA", at positions 796 to 1041 of the family's 1533-position model. Lineage: Bacteria; Bacillati; Bacillota; Clostridia; Eubacteriales. The record is from RNAcentral.